Long non-coding RNA from Pseudomyrmex gracilis, 1269 nucleotides. RefSeq lists it as uncharacterized. The transcript is spliced from 7 exons. The record is from RefSeq and is a predicted model, not a curated record. NCBI's taxonomy places the organism in Eukaryota, Metazoa, Arthropoda, Insecta, Hymenoptera, Formicidae.
GUUUGAUAUUACAAUUUUCUUGUUUAUUUCUGGGAAGUGUGUUUAUUAUUUUCGGUUUGUUAUUGUAGAAUCUGACCGCGCAUUAUCCAAAAACUCUACUCCUGGCAUUGACAUCCGAAAAAAUAGUCACUAUAUCAGCUACGGCAAUUCAAUGUUCCGUUAGUACGGAGAGCAAAAAAGUAGCGACUUGGCAUGAUGAGCUUUUGUCACACGUUGCUUCUUGUCUCGAACAUCCGGCGCAAGCUUUCACAUUGAAUUUACGCUCGAUAAAAUCAUAUCACUUCACACGUGCGCUCUGUACAUUGUUGCAAGACUUGAAAGUGGAACAUUGUAUUGGUGACUGGGAAAAGUAUACGGCUAAGUAACGCAAGCACAGACCAUCUACCGUGGUGUCCAGCGAUAUCAGUUACAAAUCGCACGUGUGUAUGAAGAACAGUCCGGUGUAAACCGGGAGGUAUUGGAUUCACAAUAUCUAACGGCGUGCCAGAAGUAAAACAUUUGCUAUCAGCGGCGUGGAAUAUGGACGCUACGUGCAGGAUUAAAAUAUUACCUGCUGGUGCACACUUGUCUAAUUUGAGUGCUGAUAAGCGCGAGUCCAACGAAAACGAAGGCACAGAAGUUGUAAACAAACCGAAUCACAAGGAAACUGCCGACAAACUGGACAUACCGCUUCCGCCAUCGCCAGCUUUGAGCACCUGCAGCGAUACCGGCAGCAUCACAAGUCAUAGUAAAAUGAGCGACAAAAACGCAUGGCAUCCCCGAAGAGAAAGAGAGUCUGAGAGAAAUUACGAAGAAGACUGGAAAUGAAAAGAUGUCGUUUUUGUUGAAGACGUCAAGACUGUAUAUAUUGAGAGAUUUCUAAAAGUCGAUGGUUGCUAUGUGGCAGUAACAUUUUUUUCAAAAGAUUUGAAAGAGAAAGAUACAAACAAAAAAGAUUUCAAUACGUCUAAUUUAGAAGAUCUUACAACAGAACAGCCAAUAAAAUUAUCAGCUGAUUGUAGACUGUAAUAAAGACAUCAGUAAAUCCACAAACCUCCGAUUGUUUCCAAAUAACACCUAGAAGAGUCUGUAUUGUAAAUGGUUCAAACGAUAGUUUGUUAUCUAUAUCCAACAACGGACAAGGUAUCCAUGCUAUUUUUAUAAGUGGAAGUAAGUUGAGUUAUGUGGUUUACAGUGGAAGUAAAGGUAUCUUCAGGAUUGUUAUAUUCCAUCUGAUAUAUCGUCAUUUUUGGGAUUGCAAUCUCAGAAUAUUAAUCUUACAAAUGCAGA